Molecule: ribosomal RNA, 433 nt
Filed under: uncultured bacterium
Lineage: Bacteria
Description: partial 16S ribosomal RNA
Rfam family: Bacterial small subunit ribosomal RNA
Source: RNAcentral
AACGAACGCUGGCGGCAUGCCUAACACAUGCAAGUCGAACGAGACGUUCGGGUCUAGGGGCGCACGGGUGCGUAAGGCGUCGGAACCUGCCCUUAGGUUUGGAAUAACUCUCCGAAAGGGGUGCUAAUGCCGGACAGUGUCUUCUGCCCAAAGAUUUUUCGCCCUUGGUUGGUCCCGCGUUGGAUUCGCUAGUUGUUAGGGUAAUAGCCUCCUAAGGCGUCGAUUCAUAGCUGGUUAGAGAGGAUGAUCAGCCACACUGCGAGUGAGACACGGCCUAGACUCCUACGGGAUGCAGCAGAGGGGGAUAUUGGACCGUGGGCGAAGGGCUGAUGCAGCAAUGCCGGGUGAGUGAUGAGAGUCGUAGGGUUGUAAAGCUCUUUUACCCGGGAUGAUAAUGACAGUACCGAAAGAAUAAGCCACGGCUAACUCCGUG